GAUGAACGCUGGCGGCGUGCCUAAUACAUGCAAGUCGAGCGAACGGACGAGAAGCUUGCUUCUCUGAUGUUAGCGGCGGACGGGUGAGUAACACGUGGAUAACCUACCUAUAAGACUGGGAUAACUUCGUGAAACCGGAGCUAAUACCGGAUAAUAUUUUGAACCGCAUGGUUCAAAAGUGAAAGACGGUCUUGCUGUCACUUAUAGAUGGAUCCGCGCUGCAUUAGCUAGUUGGUAAGGUAACGGCUUACCAAGGCAACGAUGCAUAGCCGACCUGAGAGAGUGGUCGGCCACACUGGAACUGAAACACGGUCCAGACUCCUACGAGAGGCAGCAGUAGGGAAUCUUCCGCAAUGGGCGAAAGCAUGAAGGAGCAACGCCGCGUGAGUGAUGAAGGUCUUCGGAUCGUAAAACUCUGUUAUUAGGGAAGAACAUAUGUGUAAGUAACUGUGCACAGCUUGACGGUACCUAAUCAGAAAGCCACGGCUAACUACGUG
RNAcentral lists this ribosomal RNA (497 nucleotides) under uncultured bacterium. Its description in RNAcentral is "partial 16S ribosomal RNA". It matches the Rfam family "Bacterial small subunit ribosomal RNA", at positions 28 to 507 of the family's 1533-position model. The record is from RNAcentral.